GCAGGCUUUUUCCCCUCCACCUAGACUUGAAUUGCACAACAUAAAGGCAGCAUAAAGUAUUUGCUCUCUGAUUCCUAAGGAAGAACUUCAGCUUUUGCAGGAAACCUAGAGCUCUUUGGAAGCCAGGCAUUCCACAAUGAAGAGCUUUCUGGCUUUCCUUGUUGCAGUGGGCACCAUGGUGACCCUGGCUGAUGCAGGCUGCAGAAAUUCACUUCAGGUUCCAGGGAGGCCCUACAGUGGUAGAAACAAGGGAGAUCCUCUGACCUGAUUGCUCUGUGGCUGUAGGUUGAACGGAAAACUGUAUCCCUUUGGAUUCAUUGAGAGGACAGAAAAUUGCUACAAAUGCCACUGUGACGAACGUGCAAUGCAGUGCUGUACCAUCUAUUUCAUUCCUCGUUCUUAUGACAAAGAGAAAUGUAAAGUUGUUUUCAACAAGAAGCGCUGUCGCUAUGAUGUCCUGCAGAGGGAUGACCCCUCACAGCCAUGUUCUUCUGGCUUUUCUGGAGUGUUGUAACCCCUGCUGUAAACCUCUCUGCACUGGGGAAUUCCUCUGCUUCCUACAGAUGCUUUGCCAUCACAGAGAACUACAAUGACAUGAAGAAAUCUCAUAAGAGAGCACUUCAGUAGCUGCCUUCUGACCUCCUAAGAGUUGUAAUUCAGCUUACCAGAUGCAUAAUCAGAUAGUGUCUCAUUUCUAUCAAAAGGUAAUAUUCAUGUUCGUAAUAUUAGUUGUGAAAACUUUGUGUUUUAACUGAUUCAUAGAUGUUAACUUUUUAAUUAAAUAGGAUUUCAUUCUACUAGUUUCCUUUUUUCAACCUGUAUUUAUUUAUUUUCAAAUUAGACCCUUAUUACCUGUAAGGUCCCAAGAGUUUCUGUAUAAUCUGGGCACCAGUUUUCUUACAGAUUAAGAUGACUUUCUUAGUGCAAGAAGAUUUUGAAUCUGAACAGCUCAGCACAAACAAGAGCUGGCACUUGAGAAGAAAGAAAAUUAAUUCCCAUGGGUUUACCAGGCCAAGGAAAUGUAGAGCCUUGUCUCAUAGACUCCAGAGUAUAAACUGUAUUCAUUGACACCCAAAAAUUGCAUUAAGAUGUUUUUAAAAAGACAUUUUUAGUCUCAAGGUGCAAUUGUAUUGGUUUUUCUAUUACUAGUGUAGCUGGUAAUACUGAAACUUCCCUUUUUUUCCCCCUCUAAAUAAAACUAAUUUAGCAAUGAAAUUCAGGAGUCUUUCAUCUCCCUUGCUCCAAGCUGAGACAUGCUCAAGAACAUUGCCACAGGUAAUUUUUACUGGUUUGGGAUUUUUGUUCAUGAGAUUGUCCAUCUGCAGGAAAGUAGAUAAAUACAUCACUCAUCCUCUGAAUUUUUUAUUAUUUUUGCACCACCAAAAAUUAAUGAAAUGUGUAAGGCAGAAAGAGAGAGGUACCAAUUCUGUUUUCCAUCCUUCACAGAAAUGAGACUAAAGAAAACCUUGUUGAAUUUUGCUAACUUCCUCAAAAAUCCCAUCAGAAAUUCCUCUCCAAAUGAGAAAUAUUUCUGUGUUGGUAAAACACUGGAGAAUAAGUUUUUCCUAUUUUUAUAUCCACAGUUAUACCAUACAAAAGCUCCUUAGAAACACCCCAUUAUUGUCAGAGUGGGUCCAAAUUUCAGAUGCUAAAGAUUUUAUAGCACUCAAAUUCAACCUGUUGACACCUAUACCACACACGUAUUUAAUCUGCUGCAUAUUUCACAUUUUAAGGAUUUCAAAAAUAAAAUGCUAGCUGUCAUUUUGUGAAAAAAAAUUACAUGAAACUUGUUGCAUUUUCUACCCUGUUUCAGCUGGCCAUUCCUUUUUGCUUUCUCAAAGAGGGGGAAAGCAAUUCUCCUAGCCCCAGUUUGCUCUCAGAAAGUGAUACAUUACUUUCAAGAAGUACUCCAAGACAUUGUGGGGGUUUUACAGCAGGGUUUCCUGGGCUUACUUCUUCACACCGCUGCAUAGUGCAUACUGUUAUUACAAAUGAAACAGCCCAAGAAAAAUUCUGGUGAAACCUGCCAGAGAUGCAAGUCACAAAAUCUCUCAUGGUGUUCUGUUCUAGUUCCUGCCCAUCUCAAUCAGACAGGAAGGGUGUAGGACUAGAAAUGGCAGGAAGCAGAAUUUGACACAUUACAGAGGAAAACAGCAAAGAAAAAAGAGAAGAGGUCCCAAAAGCCAAGAUAUGUUUUGGAUUUGGGGGAAGAAUUCUGUGGUUGCUCUCCCCAUCCCAGUCUGUUCUGAGACCUGCAGCAAUAACUUCCAACCAUGGCAUUUAGUGUUCAUGGAAUCAGUAGCUAACAGGUUUAAAAAUGGAAAAAAGAGAGCUGAAGUAUAGUGUAGGAGGGAUAUACACAAAAUUAACUGAAUUUCCCCAGAAAUAAGUUUAAAGGAUGCUGAACUAAAUAACUGUUGGUAUGAAAUAGAAGUUAAAACUUCUUUCAUUUUGUGCAUGCCUGGGCAGCUUGUGGGACAGAUGAGCAGAUAAUUUGCUACCACCUGGAGGAACAAAGGCACACUCCCAGUGCCAGAGUGGCCAGAGCAGUGUCCACUGCUGCACCACGUAAGUUCCGCAAAAGCAGAGGCACUACUGGACAGAGCUACAGCAAUGCUCCAACCUGCCACCCUUCCUACAUCUAACUCCUGAAGCCAUGGCUCUACAAAAAGUCUUUCUCACACAUAUAUGGUUUUCAUUUGCUUAAUCAGCUGCAGGGUCAAGAUAACAAGCUGUGUUUGGAAUCACUGUGGGUUUUUUAAUUUGUGGAAUACACUUUUCUGUCAUUAUUCUGGUUCACUGAAGACUUCUCAGACGUUUUUUUACUACACAUCUUGAGACGGAAUGUAGGAGUGCAGGAUAUUUAGCUUUUCCCAUAAGCUGGAGAUACCUUUAUUUCUGAAUCUGCCACUCUUAUUCAUUUUGAUUUACUGCCUCUGGACUUUUCUUGCUGGUACAGUAUCUGUGGCCAUCUCCCUCAGUUCUACCCACACUUCGGAGAUGGAGGUCGCCUUGUUGCAAGCAUGGCCUGGUAUUUGUGAUUGGCCCUUUAGAUCUUUUUGUCUGUCCCUAUGUCCCUUGCUUAGCACUGAUCCUUUGUCCUGGGAUCAUGAUCUGACAGGAUUUUCCAGGCUAGCUGAGAAAUUAUCACGUGUUUUAAAAAUGCAUUUGCACCAAGAUAAAAAACUAGGUGUUUCUCAUCCCACUGAAACUGCAUUGAAUUAAAACUGAAAUUCAGCUCGGGGACGGGGACUUGGCUACACAUGGAAGAAGGCAGGUGUGUUCAGAUCAGAGAAGAAAUGAUAUUAUUGUCUCAAUCUUGGGUCACACAGGUUGAAUUGAAGUCUCAAUUCAAGUUUCUGCUCUGCCAUCUGUUACCUGGGACAAAUUGCUCACAGUGCCUAUGUACCUUGCUAUAAAAUUUAUACAAUUCUUUGAUAAUUCCUGUCCUGGGAGAGAUCUGAGGGCCUAGGCUUUGAGAUUUGUGGGUAUAUGAACCUCAGACUUAAGAAAAGUGUCUCCACCAAGAUAAAACUUCCUUCUACCACCUUUACAAUAUGUUCUUGUGUAAACAGUGCACUGUAUAUUUUAGUGUUUGCAUGUGCCUUUCCUUAACACAGUUAUCCUUUCUCACACACAAAUGUGACAGACUUUAAUAAAGUAAAACCAAUGUACAUUA
Molecule: long non-coding RNA, 3679 nt
Organism: Melospiza melodia melodia
Lineage: Eukaryota; Metazoa; Chordata; Aves; Passeriformes; Passerellidae
Exons: 4
Source: RefSeq, a predicted model, not a curated record